This 236-nucleotide long non-coding RNA is filed under the name Malus domestica (apple). Its description in RNAcentral is "long non-coding RNA (MDOM_LNC013063)". The record is from RNAcentral. Lineage: Eukaryota; Viridiplantae; Streptophyta; Magnoliopsida; Rosales; Rosaceae.
GAUACGUUGCAAAAGUUGAUUCACCAAGGUUGUCUAUUGUGCAAGGGCGCUCGUCAACUCUCUGACUUGUCGAGACAAGUGUUGUUCGCCAUUUGGAUUGGAAGAGCUUGGAAGGAAUGCGCCUCCUUGGGCAGUGGAAUGGUGGUAGACUCCGGGCGCGAGAUUUGAGUUGGGAAAUGUCAAAUCCGUGAAAAAAUAUGGUGAGAAUGCCCCCUGCUCGAUGGUAGGUCCGGAUG